GCAGCACUUUUUUCUUCUUUCAUUGGAACCACAGCCGAUUCUUCAGGAUGAGUUUCCUCAAUGACACUGUCAUCCUUCAAUUGAGCAGCAUUCUCAGACUCCAUUCCUUACAAAAUCCCGCAACAACAAACUCACUUUCAAAUUUCAAAUUUAGAUAAAAUUCCCCACACUUUCUCAGCAACCAACCAGAAUCAAAUGAUGAACUUGGACAGUAGCAGAGGAGUGAAGUUUUAACUGUUGAAAGAGACCAGAGAGCAAAUGGCAUAACAUAAAAUCUAUAUAAAAAGCGUAAUAAAGAAGUGACAGAAUCUGAGUGUAAAGGUGUAAAGAUUGGUAUAUCUGAGCUAAGUUAGUAAUAGAC
This 361-nucleotide unclassified non-coding RNA is filed under the name Hevea brasiliensis (rubber tree). The record is from RNAcentral. Lineage: Eukaryota; Viridiplantae; Streptophyta; Magnoliopsida; Malpighiales; Euphorbiaceae.